UCAUUCUUUUAAAAAAAAAUUUCUUAGACAAAAAAAAAAUAAAAAAGUUUUAAGCAAAAAAAAAACAGUAUUGUAUUUUUUUUAAACACAAACUUUGUUCAUAAAUGGAAAUAUCAUAGUAAAGUAACCAAAUGUAAUUCUAAAUUCUUAAAGAGGUAAGUGCAUAAUUUAAAUGUUAUAAAGUAUACAAAGGUGAUAGUAUAGAAAAGUUAAAGAAACUUUAUAAUUUAUUUGGC
Molecule: long non-coding RNA, 236 nt
Filed under: Brassica rapa (field mustard)
Lineage: Eukaryota; Viridiplantae; Streptophyta; Magnoliopsida; Brassicales; Brassicaceae
Description: long non-coding RNA (BRAP_LNC001100)
Source: RNAcentral